CGUCGAAUCACAUGCUAGCGUCUACAGGUGUUUCGUACUAAUACUCUACUGACUGUUGACUAGUUGCAGCACCUCAAAGCCGAUCACAGGUGUGACAGAGCGGAUUGCAAGGUGCCUGAUGAUAUCAAACUGACCCUAUUAAACAAAGCGGGCGUCUAUCGCCUAUCCUGCAGUUAUAGGAAGUAUUAUGAUGGCUAAAUUAGACAUAAAAUUUAGAGUAACAUCAAGGAGAGAACUUCAAUGGCGUUUUUCUUGUACCAACAUUAAAAUUAACAAAAAUAAAUCUUAAAUUGAUUGUUUC
This is a non-coding RNA of Onthophagus taurus, 301 nucleotides long. Lineage: Eukaryota; Metazoa; Arthropoda; Insecta; Coleoptera; Scarabaeidae. The record is from RefSeq and is a predicted model, not a curated record.